GAAAAAUCAAUCCACACCAAAAAUCCCCACUAAGAGCUCCCCCUUGCGUGGAGCUUUUGCACAUUGACAUUCCUCCCAGCAGCGCUGCUCUCCUUCCUCUCUAUCCAUCUAUCCAUCCGGCCAUCUGCGAGCUCCUCCCAUGUAGCUGCAGGAGCGCCCGAGCCGACUGCGCCGGCGAGCACCAACAGCAAGCCGCACCGCGCCCCUGCCCUCUGCUCCCUUCUCCUUCUUGUCCCUCCUUCCUCUUUCUUCUCUCUCUUAACUCCCUCUCUCUUCUCGUUGCUACAGGACCUCAAGCUGCCAUGGAUGUUGCACCGAGCACAAGUCAAACAGUCCAAGCUUGGGAGCGCCGCCCUCCUCAACCCCGUGCAGAUCUAGGCCGUUCCUAUUGGAUCCACAUUGCCCCGCCGCAAGUCCCUGGAGAGCCGUCGCUGCACUUCUUCCAGCGUGAGGGAGCCAGCGCUCGAGCGUAGAGCGGUCGCUCACCAGGACGCGUUACCCCCCAAGCCUCCCCCGCUCGCCAGGAUGCUCCGCUCGCUGCGGUGACCGCCCUGGUUCACACGUGGCACUGCUCGCCUGCUCGCCAGCAUGUUGCGCCAAGGGCCCAGCCGCAUCUGCUCGUCUGCAUCGAGACCGAAGGAGACGACCGCAAGCCCCUAUUCGUCUGCGCAUCCACGACCGAGGACGAAGCCGUAAGCUCGAUCCUCCCUCCCCGCCCCUGAUCUCACACCUCUCCAUGGCUGGGCUAUGCGUGGCAGCGGGGCGACGACUAGGCUGCGUGUGUAGGGGGGCUUUCGCCGACAUCCCGUCCCUGCACGUCAAGCCGCUCCACACCAUGGCCCCGAAAACUUCAACAAGGACGUGCAGACCCCAAAUUAGUAUCAUCUCGUUUAUAUUAUGAUUUUGUCUAUAUAAAUCAUAAAAACAUAUUAUGACAUGAGAAAAAAGUGUAUUGUGACGCUGAACCCACGGAAUCAAUCCGUGCUUUAUUAUUAGGGAAAGAUAUCUUCGUCAUAUAUCAAUUUGGUUUCAUAAGCACUGAUUUAUUUUUACACAAACUCGAUUAAAUUUUAAAAUAGUUUGAUCCUCCGACAAAGUUGAAAGUAUAUCUUUUAAAAAGGACGGAGGGAGCACAAACCAUAGGAUCCGAACAUCGAGGGGCGAUUUUUUUUGAGACAAGGGCGAUUUGUUGAUGUGUGUGGAGCGUUUGAGUUGCCCUUUGACCCAAAAACUCACCGGGACUAAGAGCAUCUCCAGCCGUUCGCCCCGCGGGCAGUGAAAAAAGGCCGCCUGGGGGUGAAUCGGUGCAAGUUAGGCACUUGGGGGCGGCUCGGUUCCCAGUCGUCGCCCGCAAAGGUCACCCUGAGCUCAGCGCAAUUAUGUAGAUCUGGUACAAACUCGGCGAAAUUUUAUUGAAAUUUGUACAAAAAAGUAAAAACAUGCAAACUACGCCAAACUAAGCCGAACUACGCCGCUAGCCACUACCUGAUGAGGACAUCAAUACCAUUGUUACACCCACAGCCCCUGCUACUAUACAUACUGGACCAAUUACUAGAGCUCGCGCACGCCAACUAAAUUACCAGGUACUUUCGUUUCUUGGUAAUGAUUCUAAUGUUCAUGAGAAUAUGAUGCUGCCUAAAUUGGAUACGUUUGUUUUGCUUACAAAUGAAGGGCCUAGCUUGAAGAAGGAUGAACAUUGGAGCAAGAACAAGCAUGGAGAUGAUGGCAUGCGCAAGGGGAACAAGAACGGAGUUACAAGUGAUGAUUUCAGGUCUUUGAAGC
This 1782-nucleotide ribosomal RNA is filed under the name Triticum aestivum (bread wheat). RNAcentral's name for it is "partial small subunit ribosomal RNA". The record is from RNAcentral. Lineage: Eukaryota; Viridiplantae; Streptophyta; Magnoliopsida; Poales; Poaceae.